AAGAUUUUCAGGUUCGUUAUGUCAGUAGUUCCAGCUUCUUCUGUCUGUAUCUUUCCUCAUGCCGUCAUGCUUUCGGUUGGUUUCUUCCUUCUCUAAUUGUAUCCCAAUUUUAGGUCUGAUGCUAUUACUAUUAUUGAUGACCCGUAUCAACAAGUUGUUGGGUCUUCCAUUGUGGUUGGAUGUUUUGAAGAUACAAAAGCUUCAAUGUGUCAAUAGUAAUAUUUACUAGUUCAGCGAGAUUUUCUACUGCCAAGUUCUUAACUUUGUCAUGUCAUAUUGGUUUUCCUCUGUUUUUUACCCUUCAAUGCCAUGUCCUAUGCUAGGCUCAGCUUGAUUCUCACUGGUGAUCUCAGCCAUGGAUUGAACACCUUCAAGCUGUGCUUCUAAAACUCGCUGUUUGCCAUUGAUAUGCAUGUGAUGGUAUGUGUCUGUUAGAUCGCCACUGGUUAUCCUUGAUGUACACAAGUAUUCUAUAUAUGUGAUCUCUUAAAACUCAGAUAAAGUUGCCAUGUUUUUAUUGGCCUCCUCAUUUGGUAGUGCAGGGGUAGCUAUUUGGCUCAUAAACUAACUGCAUAGUGCCACAACCCCAAAAUGUGUAAUACUGUAUAAGCCCUCUUUUAUUACACUUUAGAGGAACGACAGAUCAUGGAAGCAGGAAAAAUAUGCUGCAAUAUGCUGAUGCCAAUCUUUAUAAGUUAUCCCGGACCCUCAGAUGAUGCAGGAACUGAUUUCCAACAAGCAUGGCCACUUCGGAAAGCCACUGCUCAAACCAUUUCUACUCAUCCUUGCUAGAGGCCUCAUUGUUUCAAAACACUGGAAGUUUGAUGCGUUCUUUGGCUUCCGCUAAGGUUAUGAUUUCUUUGUGUUCCGAUUUCUUUGUUUUCUGCGGUUGGAUAGUUUUUCUUCCUUUUUGUAGUUCACGAAUCGCAAACGUAAGUUAUGUUUAUCCAAUUGCAAUGAAUCUAUUUGUGCAUAAUCACGGAUGUGCAAUGUCUAAUUAUAAUCAAUUUUGAGUUUCGUGGC
RNAcentral lists this long non-coding RNA (1023 nucleotides) under Linum usitatissimum (flax). Its description in RNAcentral is "long non-coding RNA (LUSI_LNC004586)". Lineage: Eukaryota; Viridiplantae; Streptophyta; Magnoliopsida; Malpighiales; Linaceae. The record is from RNAcentral.